This 229-nucleotide ribosomal RNA is filed under the name uncultured soil bacterium. RNAcentral describes it as "partial 16S ribosomal RNA". It matches the Rfam family "Bacterial small subunit ribosomal RNA", at positions 26 to 250 of the family's 1533-position model. The record is from RNAcentral.
AGAGUGAACGCUGGCGGUAGGCCUAACACAUGCAAGUCGAACGGCAGCACAGUGGUAGCAAUACCAUGGGUGGCGAGUGGCGGACGGGUGAGGAAUACAUCGGAAUCUACCUUUUCGUGGGGGAUAACGUAGGGAAACUUACGCUAAUACCGCAUACGCCCGUUUGGGGGAAAGCCGGGGAUCGCAAGACCUGGCGCGGAUAGAUGAGCCGAUGUCGGAUUAGCUAGUU